This 218-nucleotide long non-coding RNA is filed under the name Lathyrus oleraceus (garden pea). RNAcentral describes it as "Pisum sativum (pea) long non-coding RNA (PSAT_LNC024962)". The record is from RNAcentral. Lineage: Eukaryota; Viridiplantae; Streptophyta; Magnoliopsida; Fabales; Fabaceae.
UCUGGUUCAACUGAUCCACGAUCUUGUAAUCACUCUUUUUGAUAAUUCUCAUAAAUUCCUCCACGUCAUUCUCAAAAGAAUUCUCGGGCACUUCCUUUCGUACUGGUUCUUCUUCAGCUACAACUUGUUUUCCUUUCGUUCUAGCAAGAGCCUCCGCAUUGUUAUCCUUCGGAACCUGUGGUGCAAACAAUCGACCACUUCUCGUAAAUCCUCUGGGU